RNAcentral lists this ribosomal RNA (274 nucleotides) under uncultured bacterium. RNAcentral describes it as "partial 16S ribosomal RNA". It matches the Rfam family "Bacterial small subunit ribosomal RNA", at positions 523 to 796 of the family's 1533-position model. The record is from RNAcentral.
AUACGGGGGGUGCAAGCGUUAAUCGGAAUUACUGGGCGUAAAGCGCGCGUAGGCGGUUUGCUCAGUCGGAUGUGAAAGCCCAGGGCUCAACCUUGGAACUGCAUACGAUACUGGCAAACUAGAGUGUGAGAGAGGAUAGUGGAAUUUCCGGUGUAGCGGUGAAAUGCGUAGAUAUCUGAAGGAACAUCAGUGGCGAAGGCGACUGUCUGGCUCAACACUGACGCUGAGGUGCGAAAGCGUGGGUAGCAAACGGGAUUAGAAACCCUAGUAGUCC